AGCAGCCGCGGUAAUUCCAGCUCCAAUAGCGUAUAUUAAAGUUGUUGCAGUUAAAAAGCUCGUAGUUGAAUUUCGGGACCAAUAUGUCGGUCGUGCUUCGGUACGUACUUGCAUUAUUGGUUUCUCCCUUCUGAGGAACCAUGAUGUCAUUAAUUUGGUGUCGUGGGAAAUCAGGACUGUUACUUUGAAAAAAUUAGAGUGUUUAAAGCAGGCUCGCGCUUGAAUACAUUAGCAUGGAAUAAUGAAAUAGGACGUUUGAUUCUAUUUUGUUGGUUUCUAGGAUCGACGUAAUGAUUAAUAGGGAUAGUUGGGGGCAUUAGUAUUCAAUUGUCAGAGGUGAAAUUCUUGGAUUUAUUGAAGACUAACUACUGCGAAAGCAUUUGCCAAGGAUGUUUUCAUUAAUCAAGAACGAAAGUUAGGGGAUCGAAGACGAUCAGAUACCGUCGUAGUCUUAACCAUAAACUAUGCCGACUAGGGAUCGGAUGAUGUAUUUUUGAUGA
This 500-nucleotide ribosomal RNA is filed under the name uncultured Glomus. RNAcentral describes it as "SSU rRNA". It matches the Rfam family "Eukaryotic small subunit ribosomal RNA", at positions 569 to 1074 of the family's 1831-position model. The record is from RNAcentral. Lineage: Eukaryota; Fungi; Glomeromycota; Glomeromycetes; Glomerales; Glomeraceae.